Molecule: ribosomal RNA, 504 nt
Filed under: uncultured bacterium
Lineage: Bacteria
Description: partial 16S ribosomal RNA
Rfam family: Bacterial small subunit ribosomal RNA
Source: RNAcentral
AUUGAACGCUGGCGGCAGGCCUAACACAUGCAAGUCGAACGGUAGCACAGAGAGCUUGCUCUCGGGUGACGAGUGGCGGACGGGUGAGUAACGUCUGGGAAACUGCCCGAUGGAGGGGGAUAACUACUGGAAACGGUAGCUAAUACCGCAUAACGUCGCAAGACCAAAGUGGGGGACCUUCGGGCCUCCCACCCUCGGAUGUGCCCAGAUGGGAUUAGCUAGUAGGUGGGGUAAUGGCUCACCUAGGCGACGAUCCCUAGCUGGUCUGAGAGGAGGACCAGCCACACUGGAACUGAGACACGGUCCAGACUCCUACGGGAGGCAGCAGUGGGGAAUAUUGCACAAUGGGCGCAAGCCUGAUGCAGCCAUGCCGCGUGUAUGAAGAAGGCCUUCGGGUUGUAAAGUACUUUCAGCGGGGAGGAAGGCGGUGAAGUUAAUAACUUCACCGAUUGACGUUACCCGCAGAAGAAGCACCGGCUAACUCCGUGCCAGCAGCCGCAGUAA